UCCUAGAGCGCAGGUAGGGCCUUGUGUUGUUAUUUGCACCCCCGAAACGGGUUAUGAUGCUAGAAAAAUCAUAAAUUAUAGAAGAACUACUUUCGUGGUCAUAGAUGAUGCUGAUGUUAUCGUUGAUAUGGGUCUUAUAAAACAAGUCUUGGACAUCAUCCAAUGUACAAGAACUGACUGCCAGACUGUUGUAUUAUCUACUACCUUCCAACCUGAUCUGGAAUUACUUGCUCGUGCUGUUACAAUGGAUCCUGUGCUGAUACGCCGUGUGGAAAAACUGGAUGUAGGGGAAGGUGAAGAAGGCCAAAGGGAGGUGAAAAGGCUGAAACGUGCUGCUGUCUAAGAUAUAUCAAGAGCUAUUUUGUUCAAGUUGCUAUUUCUGUUAGCACAACCUGAAAUCAAUCUCUUUUGUCGACAUAUAGAAGGUACCCACGCAUUACACCUGCGACAAUUUGUAGCGUGCGAAAAGUCGUGACAGCAAUAGUUGUACAACAUGAUACUCGCUUUCUGUAACAGAGGGAGUAUUAUUUUUAGAUAUAUAUAAAUAUAAAUCUUCAUAUAAUGUAAUAUUAGUGAAAAACAUUUGUAUCCUUACAUAGUAUUUUCUUUUCUUUUCUUUAGGUGAAUGCAUUAUGCAUUUAUGUUUCAUUGUCAAAACCUCUACGUCUGUGGCCAUGAUUUGUGAUAUGGAUAGCCAUCUGCUAACAAAUAAAAGAGAAAAACAAUAAUUAUCACGCCAUUCAGUAAAAGCAUGUAACUUUUAAACUAGUCCAACCCAGGUAGAAGCAAACUGGGCCAACCCGAGCGUGCCCCACCCACCACCGGUCCAGUCGGCGGGUUAACUUUUAAUAUGAAUUCGUGUUUGACCUGGCCGUCAGACCCGUUCUCGGUCGUUUACAUCAUUAUAUAUUGUUUCUCUGAUAUACAGUUGAAAAAUGUAUAAACU
Erigeron canadensis is the source of this 946-nucleotide long non-coding RNA. RefSeq lists it as uncharacterized. Lineage: Eukaryota; Viridiplantae; Streptophyta; Magnoliopsida; Asterales; Asteraceae. The record is from RefSeq and is a predicted model, not a curated record. The transcript is spliced from 3 exons.